CAGCCGCCACGGUAAUACGUAGGUGGCAAGCGUUGUCCGGAAUUAUUGGGCGUAAAGGGCUCGCAGGCGGUUUCUUAAGUCUGAUGUGAAAGCCCCCGGCUCAACCGGGGAGGGUCAUUGGAAACUGGGAAACUUGAGUGCAGAAGAGGAGAGUGGAAUUCCACGUGUAGCGGUGAAAUGCGUAGAGAUGUGGAGGAACACCAGUGGCGAAGGCGACUCUCUGGUCUGUAACUGACGCUGGGGAGCGAAAGCGUGGGGAGCGAACAGGAUUAGAUACCCCCGUAGUCCCUGUCUCUUAUAC
This 301-nucleotide ribosomal RNA is filed under the name uncultured bacterium. RNAcentral's name for it is "partial 16S ribosomal RNA". It matches the Rfam family "Bacterial small subunit ribosomal RNA", at positions 509 to 807 of the family's 1533-position model. The record is from RNAcentral.